RNAcentral lists this unclassified non-coding RNA (5105 nucleotides) under Hevea brasiliensis (rubber tree). Lineage: Eukaryota; Viridiplantae; Streptophyta; Magnoliopsida; Malpighiales; Euphorbiaceae. The record is from RNAcentral.
GGACACUCAUGCGAGUAUGCGGUCUCUCUCUUCUCUGGUAACACGGCGGGAAACUGAUAAUUUUGGGGAAAAACCCUCCAAAACCAUCCGAAAUCUAAAUUCCUUAACUUUAAACCCUAACCCUCUCUUCCCUUUUCCAAUUUCCCCAAAUCCCCAAUUGUCAGUUUCACUGCUGAAAUCCACACUCUGAGGAGAGCGAGAGAGCAAAAGAACCCACCAACUCUUUUGCUCUCCCUCUCUCUUCCGCACCAACACCACCUUAAUUUUCCCCUUUCCAUGGCAUUUCUCCAUAAACGCAAAGACCACCACCACAAAUUCCAACGGCCACCGCUUGGGCGCGAGUACGGCGAAGAAGGUGAAGAUAUUAACGUCGAUACCCACACUGACGCGCCCUUGCGAUACGUUUCUUUGGAUCGUGUCUACUCUGCUGCUUCUCUCUGCGUUAGUGCCAGUGGAUCGUCUAACGUUAUGUCCAAGAAGGUUAAAGCCCGGAAACUCAUUGUCCAUGGUAUUGAUGAUCCUCGUCUUGGUGGGCCCCCGAUCCUUCACGUCUACUCUCGUCGAUCUAAGAGACCCCGGCAUUCUACACCAACGCCGUCUUUUUUUGAGUCGUUGAUUCUACGCGCUGCUGAAUCGGUGCCUAAACUUGCUGUAAAGACUGAAAUUUGUGGGUUUGAGGACUCGAUUGACAAUGAUUUGAAGAGGAAGGAAAAGAAGAGAAGGAUUGGGCGUAGUGAGUUGGUGAAGUUGGGAGUUGAUUCUAGCGUUUUGGGAGGUGUUGAGAGGCCGCGAUUGAGGGAUUGUCGCAAUCAUAAUGUGAAUAGUAAUAGUGGAACUUUACGGAGAAAGAAUCGUGGUUCUUUACAGAUUUCUGACAAGGUUUUAUCGCUGCCAGCUUCUGCUAAAAGAUGGGUCAGGUUGAGUUACGAUGAUGUCGAUCCAAAAAGGUUCAUUGGAUUAUCUUGCAAGGUUUAUUGGCCAUUGGAUGCUGAUUGGUAUUCUGGACGUGUUGUUGGGUACACUUCAGAGACUAAACGGCAUCAUGUUGAAUAUGAAGAUGGAGAUAAAGAGGAUUUGAUUCUUUCAAAUGAGAAAAUAAAAUUUUUUAUUUCUCGGGAGGAGAUGGAGCGGUUGAACUUGACUUUCAGUAUAAAAAAUACAGAUGGUGAUAACUAUGAUUAUGAUGAGAUGGUUGUGUUAGCUGCCGUUUUGGAUGACUGCCAAGAUCUUGAGCCUGGGGAUAUUAUAUGGGCAAAACUUACUGGUCAUGCUAUGUGGCCAGCAAUUGUUGUGGAUGAAUCACUUAUUGGUAAUCGUAAAGGCUUAAACAAAAUUUCUGGAAAAAAAUCAAUGUUUGUGCAAUUCUUUGGCACCCAUGAUUUUGCCAGAAUUAAACCGAAGCAGGUAAUCUCAUUUCUUAAAGGACUUCUUUCGUCUUUUCACCUUAAGUGCAGGAAACCUCAUUUCGCACGAAGCUUGGAAGAAGCAAAAAUGUAUUUGAGUGAGCAAAAGCUUCCAAGAAGAAUGCUACAGCUGCAAAAUAGCAUGAAUGGCGAUGCUAACUGUGACAGUGCGAGCAGUGAGGAUGAAGGGAGUACAGAUUCAGGUGAAGACUGCAGAAGAGAUGAAGGCAUACAAAGGAUAUUGAGAGGCCUUGAAACUUCUCCAUAUGUUAUUGGGGAUUUACAAAUAAUAAGCCUUGGAAAGAUUGUCAAGGACUCAGAAUAUUUCCAGGAUGAUAGAUUUAUCUGGCCUGAAGGAUAUACUGCCUUGCGGAAGUUUACGUCAAUAACAGAUCCAAGCGUUUGUACCAUAUAUAAAAUGGAAGUGUUGAGGGAUGCUGAGUCUAAGAUUCGGCCUCUAUUUAGAGUGACAUUGGAUGAUGGAGAGCAGGUCAGCUUUGAUUAAAUUAACCUAAACAACUUUUACUUUGAUUGUCUGUGCAUUUUGUGCAAUUGUUGACUUACUUUUCCUAUUUAACUGGUUGUGAACUCGUGAUUCUGUCCUAUUUUCAAUUUUUUGAGGGACUUAUCCUAUAUGGAAAUUGAACCAUUUUGCAUAAGCUACUAAAUCUUAAAAUCUUACUUAUGGAAUAAAGAUUGCAAUUGAGAAUUGAGAAGGUAUGAACUCUGUUUAAUGUCUAUUUUUAAUUGUUUUAUUUAUUUAUUUUUUAUUGCUAUAUAGACAUGAGUAGAGUGGCGCCUUGUCCCUCAAGUACUGAAUUGUGGAUGGUCUCGGAUGCAUUUUAAGUUUGGAUUUUACUAAUUAAACGUGAACAAAACAUUUGGUGAAAGUUUUCAGUAGUUAGUUGCAUGUUUUACCUUUUCCUCCUUUUGUGAUCUUUAUAUAUCUGGCACUGCUGCUUGAUAAAGAAUGAUUAUAGAAUAGAAUGUGUGAAAACAGACUCUUAGAAUUAUGGCAUCCUACUCAUCAAAUUUUAGAUUACAGUGUGCUAUUCUAUGUUCUGCUUUGUAAUUUUAUAAUGUUGUUGGAAUGGUUAAUUUGGAUCAUCUAAAGAACACUUGAGUUCAUGGUGCUGUGACAGGCAAAGUGCCUCUUUCUCAUAACCACCUGCAUUUUCUCUGUAGUUGCACUUUGCAUCAUAGUUAUUGUAACUGCAAUGGACUUGUAUGUUGGAUUGGAAAUGCAAUUACUUGAAUUUUCAAUUGGUCUAGGUGAGCACAUUGGAUGGUUUCCUGUGAAAAUUUGUCAAGAUGCAGGUGAAAUGGGAAGCUUAUUGGAGACUUUUGUGAUCAGAUGGUUUCUACAAAGCUGAAUGUGCUUUUGGUUUCUGACUAAAUGUUUGAACUGUGGAAUUCUCAAAUCCUAUUGCUUCAUUGUCAUAUCAAUUGGCCAAAGUUAUUUCUGGCCAAAUCAUUUUCUUUAUAUCCAUCAAGUCUAAGUUGUAGUUGGUUUUACAUCACCUAUUUUUUUCUCAUUUUACUACUUAGGUUUUGAGUUGCUGAAUGCAAUAUUUGUUCAUGAUAAUAUCAUUUUCACAGAUCAAAGGAUCCACUCCAUCCACUUGCUGGGAUAAAAUAUACAGAAGAAUAAGGAAAGUGCAAGAAAGUACUUCCAAUGGUUUUAGUGUUGAAGCUGGAGUAGACAGAUUCUAUGAAUCUGGUUCUGACAUGUUUGGUUUCUCUAAUCCUGAAGUUAUGAAACUUAUAAAGGGAUUAUCAAAAUCCAGACUAUCUUCUAAAAUGUCUUUGUGCAAAUUAACCUCUGAAAGGUAUCAGGACUUACCUGUUGGUUACAGACCUGUUCGUGUUGACUGGAAAGACCUUGAUAAGUGCAGCGUAUGCCAUAUGGAUGAGGAAUAUGAAAACAAUCUGUUCCUGCAGUGUGAUAAAUGCAGAAUGAUGGUCCAUGCCAGAUGCUAUGGAGAAUUAGAACCUGUUGAUGGUGUGCUAUGGUUGUGCAACUUUUGCCGUCCUGGGGCUCCUGAUUCCCCACCACCCUGCUGCCUUUGUCCUGUUAUUGGUGGUGCUAUGAAGCCUACGACUGAUGGGCGCUGGGCUCAUUUGGCUUGUGCCAUCUGGAUACCUGAAACUUGCUUGUCUGAUGUCAAGAGAAUGGAGCCUAUUGAUGGCUUGAAUAGGAUCAAUAAGGAUCGUUGGAAACUCUUAUGUAGCAUUUGUGGUGUAGCUUAUGGAGCCUGCAUUCAAUGUUCGAAUAAUACUUGUCGGGUGGCAUAUCAUCCUCUUUGUGCACGGGCAGCUGGCCUUUGUGUUGAGCUUGAGGAUGAGGAUAGACUCCACCUCCUUGCUGUAGAUGACGAUGAAGAGGAUCAGUGCAUUCGCCUUCUUUCCUUCUGCAAGAAGCACAGACAGCCAUCUAAUGAGCGUCCAGUUAUAGAUGAACGGAUUGGUCGAGUUACUCGCCGAUGUUCUGACUAUGUCCCUCCAUGUAAUCCAUCUGGCUGUGCUCGUACCGAGCCUUACAAUUAUUUUGGAAGAAGAGGGCGGAAAGAACCAGAAGCCCUUGCUGCUGCAUCCUUGAAGCGCUUGUUUGUUGAGAAUCAACCUUACUUGGUUGGAGGUUACUGUCAACAUCAAUCAUCGGGCAGUACACUACCUUCAAAUGGAGUCGUAGGCGCCAGAUUCUCUUCUAACCUUCAGAAAAUAAAAGCCUCUCAGCUUGAUGCUCCUAACAACAUUCUCUCUAUGGCUGAAAAGUAUAAUUACAUGUGGCAGACCUUCCGGAAGAGAUUAGCUUUUGGCAAAUCAGGAAUUCAUGGAUUUGGCAUCUUUGCAAAGCAUCCACAUAGGGCAGGGGACAUGGUUAUUGAAUACACUGGUGAACUUGUCAGGCCUCCUAUAGCUGACAGGAGGGAACACUUCAUAUACAAUUCAUUGGUGGGUGCUGGAACUUACAUGUUUCGCAUUAAUGAUGAAAGAGUCAUUGAUGCAACAAGGGCAGGAAGCAUUGCUCAUCUGAUUAAUCACUCAUGCGAGCCCAAUUGCUAUUCAAGAGUAAUAACUGUUAAUGGUGAUGAACAUAUAAUUAUAUUUGCAAAGAGAGAUAUCAAAAGAUGGGAAGAACUCACAUAUGAUUAUAGGUUUUUCUCGAUUGAUGAACAACUUGCAUGCUAUUGUGGCUUCCCACGAUGUCGUGGUGUGGUUAACGACAUUGAAGCUGAGGAGCAAGUGGCAAAGCUCUAUGCUCCUUGCAGUGAAUUGAUAGACUGGAACAGAGAUUAAGAAAAAAAAAUCUCUCAGGCAGAUUGUUUCCUCUCCACAAUCUGCUCAUCAUCAUUGCAUGCCAUUUUGUCAAAGACUAAUGGGUUGUGGAGCUCUUGUUUUUGUCAUCCCUUCUUUUGCUUUUACUCAUCUUAUUGCCAUAAUGCAAAAUAAUUGAUUCAGCUUUUUCUCUAGCUAGUUCCUGCACUCUGCCCGAGUAUAUUAGCUUAAGAAAGUUAAUGGAAACAACUUACUAAUCAAACUCGUAAUUUACAGGACACCCUAUUAAUUUAGUUUGUAUCUCAAAUUCUCAGUCUGUUUUACUUUGUAAAUCACCUUUAGGUAUCCUGAUACUUAUAUAUAAAACCUUUGUAAGGGCCUUUUCAAUUUUUCAAAUGAAAAGUUAGUCCUCAAGGAAUUUUG